GAUGAACGCUGGCGGCGUGCCUAAUACAUGCAAGUCGAGCGAACAGACGAGGAGCUUGCUCCUCUGACGUUAGCGGCGGACGGGUGAGUAACACGUGGAUAACCUACCUAUAAGACUGGGAUAACUUCGGGAAACCGGAGCUAAUACCGGAUAAUAUAUUGAACCGCAUGGUUCAAUAGUGAAAGACGGUUUUGCUGUCACUUAUAGAUGGAUCCGCGCCGCCUUAGCUAGUUGGUAAGGUAACGGCUUACCAAGGCAACGAUGCGUAGCCGACCUGAAAGGGUGAUCGGCCACACUGGAACUGAGACACGGUCCAGACUCCUACGGGAGGCAGCAGUAGGGAAUCUUCCGCAAUGGGCGAAAGCCUGACGGAGCAACGCCGCGUGAGUGAUGAAGGUCUUCGGAUCGUAAAACUCUGUUAUUAGGGAAGAACAAAUGUGUAAGUAACUAUGCACGUCUUGACGGUACCUAAUCAGAAAGCCACGGCUAACUACGUG
RNAcentral lists this ribosomal RNA (497 nucleotides) under uncultured bacterium. RNAcentral's name for it is "partial 16S ribosomal RNA". It matches the Rfam family "Bacterial small subunit ribosomal RNA", at positions 28 to 507 of the family's 1533-position model. The record is from RNAcentral.